Long non-coding RNA from Amphibalanus amphitrite, 802 nucleotides. RefSeq lists it as uncharacterized. The record is from RefSeq and is a predicted model, not a curated record. The transcript has 3 exons. Lineage: Eukaryota; Metazoa; Arthropoda; Thecostraca; Balanomorpha; Balanidae.
GCGAAUUCACGUGCAGUUGUGCGUGAGGUACCCCUGGCUUGAAGAUGCGCGCAUGCGCGGCAGGGUGAGUUUCCUGCGUGAUGCGUGAGUUCGCGUGAUGAGUAUUAAAGCCGUUGCGUUCGAAAACCGCGGCGCGCGCUUCAGUCCGUUGUGGCGCGGUGACUCGCGUAGUUCACGUUGAAUUGUUGAGGCCGUAUUGUGAAAUUGUGCAGGAGAGUGCAGGAGCGGGGAAGGCGUGCAGCGAAGGAUGGGUAAGUUAUCUGUGAAGAACUCGGUGAUUGUCGAUGAAGCUUUUAUCAAUCGUAUGCGCCACGGAGAACAGGGAGGUGAACUGAUGGACCAGCAGACAUUCCCCGCCGACGUCAGGAGGUCGGUGCCAACCGUGAACGGCGGAGCAGAUCGAUCGAGAAACUGAGGGAUACCUACCCGGCAUAGUUCGAGAAAGAAGAGUUCUGGCGCGAGUUCGACCGGGUGGUGGGUUGCUCAGCCGGCUCGAAGCCGGCACUGACCACUACGAGGCCUCGAUGCAGCGGCUUAAAUCAUGGCUAAGCCGAGUUCAAGCGGCAUGCUUCCGCACAAAAGGGAACGGCCCAUUGAGCCUCCUCUGCAUCUUGGCGGAGAAGGCGUCAGUGGUGGCGUACACGGGUGACGAAAAUUUGGAUCACCCCCAUCAUAACAAGUCCGAAGGAAACGAACGGUGCCGCCUCAGCGUAGUUCGAACGGAAGUCUUGUGGGGAUCCAUGGUUUGGAAGGGAGUCUUGCUGUGGGCGACGGCGCACUUUGUGCUCAAUCAACAAACGGC